Molecule: long non-coding RNA, 5333 nt
Organism: Nerophis ophidion (straightnose pipefish)
Lineage: Eukaryota; Metazoa; Chordata; Actinopteri; Syngnathiformes; Syngnathidae
Exons: 2
Source: RefSeq, a predicted model, not a curated record
UCUCUGUCGCGUUACAAGGAAGUGAAUGUUUUUUUUUUUUUUGUAAGCUUAAAAUCAAAUUGGUUGGUUGGUGGGGAAAUGAGUUUCUUCCCGGUUUGGUUUUACUCUCCAAAAUGGUGGUUUCUUUGUUUGAGCUUGACACUUAGACUGUGUGUGAGUCCCUCAGGGCAAACUUGCUCGCGCCGACAUGUUCCACAAUGACAGGAAUGUGGAAGUAAGGAAGCUACGGCCAUUUUGUGUCAGCUGCCUCGUUUUCAACCGGUUUAAUUUUCCAUACUACCUGCGUCCAUCCAGGUAUGUGGCGUAUGAUCAAUGCGAAGAAUCAUCCUGCCAGUUAUUCAUGACAAACGUCAGCUUUCAUAAUAGAAAUGACCACAAAGAGACUUCUAACCUAUUAGAAUGUUUCGGUAAAUGUGUCACAGUACGCCACGUGUGCUUAAUCCGUUGUACCAUGUACCACAUAUUGACCAACAUUAAAAUAUUGUAGCAUAGUUGGCCUAAAUAUUAAUCAAAAACAAGUCAGUAGUGUAACUUUACACACAGUUAUAACGGUGUUUCAAUAUUUAAGUGAUUCUUGGGCGAACAACAGUUUGAGAAUCCCUGUGCUAACUGGAUCAAUGACAAAAGCUUCAUGUUUGCUUUGAAUUAUAUUUAAUACCUUCAAAUGUAAAUUGUAGAGAUUUUGAUGUGGUUCCUUACCAAAAACUGUUACAAUUAUGAAAUAUGAUCUUUUAAAUGAAUAAAUAAAUAAAUGGGUUGUACUUGUAUAGCGCUUUUCUACCUUCAAGGUACUCAAAGCACUUUGACACUACUUCCACAUUUACCCAUUCACACACUGAUGGAGGGAGCUGCCAUGCAAGGCGCUAACCAGCACCCAUCAGGGGCAAGGGUGAAGUGUCUUCCUCAGGACACAACGGACGUGACGAGGUUGGUACUAGGUGGGGAUUGAACCAGGGACCCUCGGGUUGCGCACGGCCACUCAUCCACUGCGCCAUGCCGUCCCUAAAUAGCAUUCAUUCUAUUUAGUGACAUCACUAAGUGGUGACACCUGCCUUACUGGUUUCACCGUCUGACCAAAUUUAUAGAAAGCUAAUUAUGGUUAAAACAAAUUUGUUACAGAUAUAAAACUGGUCUUAGAUGUAUUUAUGAAAAGAGACAACCCUUUCCCUCGGCUGUAAAGGUCAGUUGUGCCAAUUUAAUAUUAGUGGACAUCAAAAUUGCCAGACAGCUUUUGGUUGGCGAGUCUAAAUGUUUUAAAAUUAAGUUUUUAUUGCUGUUUUUAAAGGACUAUUUAAAAAAAAAAAAGUUGUCAUUUUGUGGACUGGUGUGCUACCUGACAUUUUGGGUGUUUGAGAUGCCAAAACAUUAGGGAUGUAAUGAUGCAUCCCGACAAAACCUUAAAUUAUAUACUUUUAAUGCAGUGUAACCUCAUUCAAACUAAACCUAUUUUAAAGGAUGAAGUUAACCAUGGAAUGAUUUAAUUGUAUCAUGUACAAAAUGCAUUAAGUCUAACUGGCAUAGUUUCAGCGUGCCCUUAAGCAAGGUGGUGUGUAACCUUUUCAGGCGGCUGCCUAGAGGGCGCCAACUUUUCAAAAUAUUUGGAAGCACUCUAUCUUGCCCUUUCCUGGCUUUGAGUAUGUAAAAGACACAACACCUAAUGCACAUGCACCAGCUUUGUCAGCUAAUAAUGGCAAUUUGGCAAAGUUUAGCUCACGUUAGCUAUCAUUGAAUUUAUAUUCUAUUUUACAUAUUAACAGCUAAUUGUAAGUUUCUUCUCUUAGGUUCUUGGGUACAUGUUUGUGCAUUUGCUACCUGCAUGUAUGAGACAGCGGGUGGUGUUUAGGGCAUGUCCAACCGGUAGGAGGCAACGGGGAAGACCCAGGACACGUUGGGAAGACUGUCUCCCAGCUGGCCUGGGAACGCCUCGGGAUCCCCCAGGAAGAGCUAGACGAAGUGGCUGGGGAGAGGGAAGUCUGGGCUUCCCUGCUUAGGCUGCUGCCCCCGCGACCUGACCUCGGAUAAGCGGAAGAUGAUGGAUGGAUAGUUGUAAAAAAAUUAAAAUGUAACCUUUUCAUUUGAAGCAAGUUGCAAACAGCCCCUAUAAGCACAUACCUAUACUGUUUAUAUGCAGACAUAUUAGGGCUGUAAAGCGUUUGAAAUAUUUAAUCGUGAUUAAUCAGUUUGUUCAUAGUUGACUCAAAAUUAAUCGUAGACUUAUUUUUUUCUCAAUAAGUGUACUCAAGACGGAUAAUUUAAGUUUUUAUUGCCAUGACUGGACAAUUGCUUUGCUUUGUUUUUUAAACAUGCUUUUUAAACAGAUCAACACAAAGUACACACUCUUAAUGAGAAUAAAAAAAUACCUGCAGUGUGUUGAUGUCCUGCCAGAUUUUGUAUGUUGUAGGAAUACAUAAUUUAUAUUCCUGUCGUAGAAGCAUUUGCAUUCAGAGGGGAAGCUCCACCAUGUUUAGGUACCAGUUUCUCGCGAUAACACAAAAUGUGGAUUGUUACGAUCUGAGUUGGUUGUCAAAAAUUUUUGGUAAUGCUAAAUGUGAUAUUUAUACCUGAAUAAAUGCAUCUGGUAUUCUGUACAUUACAUGUUGUACAAGUUAAUCAUUUAUUUGGCUGCAUGACAAUGUCUUAACCCUCUCUAUUUAUAAAUAAUGUGCGAUUCAGCCUAUUUUGUAAUUGAGGACUAUCAAUCAGAGAAUGUUAUAAAACGGUGUUUCUUAACCUCAGGCUCGGGGCCCAUUAUCGGGAUGCAAGGGCCGCCAAAAAAAAAUGUUCGUCAGCUGUGGUACAUACGGGCAGGAGCGGGACACAAUUGUGAUAACACUUUUCCACCAUGUGUGACAGUAAUGACACACUGUAGUCUGAUUUUAAAGUCCCAGAUGUUUCUUAAUCGCAAAAAAUAUGACUAAAGUGGUAAAGCUGUGUUUUUAUUUGCACUUUGAUUUUAUUGACGUUUAAGAAACAUGUGUAUUUUAGGUCAUUUUAGCACCACACAAUUGUACAUACCUUUUUUUGGCCAGUUAUUUGUAAGUCCCUUUUUAUGCAGUGUAUUUGAGUACCCUAUCAACCUGAUUUAAGCAUAAGGUUUGUGUUGAAUAAAUAUUUACAAAUGCUGUCAUAUUUGACAUGGUUGUAAAAUGUAAGUUGGAUAUAGUUAUUGAACAUUAUUUAAUAUCAGGAGUAAAAUUACCAAUUCAGCGUCAAUAUUUGAGUGGGCUUGACUCUGCAGUGGAAAAGUUGGGCCCCCGAGGUCAAAAAGGUUAAACUCUUGUAAAAGAAUAUACAGUACACUUGAUUGCUUUCUGCCAAAAAAGAUCUCUCCACUCACUUGAUACCACCAUUUAUGUAGGUAGAAAUAUCACAGAUUUACAGUGGCGUGAAGUACAAAACAGCAUUUCAUGAAACAAAUUACAAUUUCAGAAAACAGAUAAAAAAACAAAAUCACAGAUUUGACAGCAAAGUCAGCAAAUUGCAGAGCUCAAAUGAGGAAGUGAAGCUUCAGCGGAUGGUUUUUGAAAUUUUAAGUUGUUUCGAUUUUUGUUUCUUCUAAAAUUGUAAAUUUUGGCCUUUUUUUUUUUAGUUUUUCUGUAAUUGUAAUUUUUUCAUGAAAUGUUAGUUUUGCACAUCCAGGACACCGUACAGAUUACAUCGACUCAAAUGGGACAAUCCCAUCAUGAUCUUAAUAACACAUUUGUCAUUUUGUUACUGUAGUGGAUAUGACUCGUUGCGCUUUUUAUUGUGAAGCCAAAAGUAUGAUUUGAGAGAAAAAUUAAUUGUAAAGACUUCUUGGCCUCUGUCUGCCUCCUCCCUCGGUCUUUCCUUUUGGUUGAGUUUGUAUUUGGUCUUCCUAGAGCAAUUAGCAAUAACAAUCCACACUGUCAACAAUGCAGUAAACUGCAUCCAAACACAGAAAAGAAGCUACCCUCUGCAAGCGUCAAAGCACGCCAACCUGCCUUCACUCCAGUGUUGUCAUCAAAGAUAAAAUAGUUUUGUCUUUGGACAUCGGACAUAUUGGCUUUUCUUUGCCUUUUGCUGGCUAUUUGUUCCACUUUUGGCUCAACAUUAACUAGGCACCAUUACAUUUCCCUACGAGUGUAAAAGGAGCCAGGGUGCAUGCGCGUUGAAAAAAACAAACAGUACCGUUAGGUCUGGCUAUAAGAAUAAAAAAAUGUAUCAUUCUUUGAAGACCUAAUGAACUAAUUGGACGAAAGGAAUUUUGACACAUUAACUCUUCCAGCACACUCAUGUUGGUAUUGACACCAGCAAUUUAUGGAUCGACUGAUUCAGUACAUGUCCAUGCACCAAAUUAGUCCGAUUUCUCAAAUAGUUUGGCUCUUAAUAGGCCUCCUACAAUCCAUGGUAACACCUUUUAAUCCGAUCGUUUUCGGUUUUUGAAAAAUCGGACUAACACACCUGGAUUAUGUGAUUGGAAACCAGAUCUCUCAGCUGCUGGGGAGGACCUUUUUUGUAUUACGCAUGCACCACUCUCAAUGUGCGCGGAAUAACACCCUGAAGCAGAUACUAUUCAAUAAAAACAUAAUUGUAAUGAAGAGGAGACUGUUUAUUUGCUUCAAAUUUAAAACUUUACAUUUUAAAGUGCAUCGAUGGUGGAAUGUUAUAAAUGUAAUUAAGGAAAUGUAGAAUGUCUGUUCAUUUCAGACUCGCAAACUAAAUACGAAUGAGAUAAAAGAUAAUAAAGCGUACACAAACCUAUUCACGCUGCAUUUGUGCACUCCGAACCGAUACUUUCCACACAACUAGCAAGAUAGUCCAGAACGAUUGCAACAUUCCUCUGGAUAGCAGUUGGGACGUGAACUGUCUUUUCCUUCGGAUUUAAAACUCCUUCCAUGAAUCCAGAGUCUUUUGAAUGAACUUAGACAUUUAAAAGUUUAGUGUUCAUUAUUUUCGUCCGAAAAUUCCUUCCCCUUUCUUUGCAUCCGACCCGAUACAUUCUUGGUAGUAGCGUCAUGUUCGUAGCGCAACCAGAGAUCAUUUCUUAAUGCUGUGUACGUAACAACAGCAUAGCCACUAAAGAUGUAAUAUUUGUGAUCUGUGCCAAUAUUAUAGCAGACAUAGCUUAAAGCCAGCUGUAAGGAUCUGCAAAUCAUACUGACUUCACAGGUCAACCGGAAAAGUCAUUAUCCACGCUAAAAUGAAAUGAGCACCCCCCCAGUGUACAGGAGGCACAUGGUGUAUGACCAAUAGUCACAUAAGUGUGUGCAUGGACACUUGGACUUUAGAUGUAAAUGUGAAAAUACAAAAAAAAAAAUAUUUGAGAAAUCUGACUAAUUUAGCGCAUAGAAACGUAGUGACUGACACACCAA